AUGGCUUUGGCGAUCCCAGAUGUUUUCAAGAACACAGUACAUAAGUUGUGUCGCUGGAACAUUAUGAAGAAGUAUAGGGAACACCUCGCGUACCUGUACGACUUCCACAAAACCUUUAAGGAUGAAUUCACAGCAAUCCUCAACUGGCCCCUCAUGCCAACUGAGUUUGAGACUGCCUGGAAAGAUCUCAUGGAUAGAAUGACAUCGACACAACGGAGUGAGAGCAUGAACUAUGUGCUGAAGAAGAACUACGUAUGUGAGAGACAAAACCUGCACCGGUUUGUCAGCCAGAAUAAAACAAACACACUGACCCUCUAUGGGUUCAACACUCAGAUGGCAAAAGUUUACUCACGAGCUGUGUACAGCGAGAUCAGAAAAAGGCUAAAGCUGAGUACCCUCUUCACGUUGACGGACAUGGAAGAUCCCACAAAGUACCUUGUACGCUACAACAAACCGCAAACAUCGUCUGCAUGGUCUCAACACGUGUUCCAGGUGGUUGUAGACCCCGUGGGAGAAAUAUACAACUGCGAGUGCAAGCUCUAG
This 543-nucleotide ribosomal RNA is filed under the name Triticum aestivum (bread wheat). Its description in RNAcentral is "partial small subunit ribosomal RNA". Lineage: Eukaryota; Viridiplantae; Streptophyta; Magnoliopsida; Poales; Poaceae. The record is from RNAcentral.